ACUAAAGAGGCCAUCCUUCUUAGUCCUGUGCUCAUUCGUAUCUUUAGGCCAUCCUUUUUAGUCCAAUGCGUUGCGUGUGCUAUCUACCCGGCUCUGCAGGAAGUCAACGUACCCUAUGUGCUAGUUCACCUCCUCACCUCGAGCGGGAGGCACAACCACAAUGUGGUCGUUGCGCGCACCUUAACGACACAACCCUUGGGCCUCGUGCUAGCUGGGCUCCUAAAGUAUCGCAAGCUCUCGCAAAUGCGACAGGCUUCGGGGACUUCGGCCCUCGGCCGGGACCUUGGUCGGUCAUUAAGCCACCCUCGUCGAGACAACGAUCGAUCCACCGAUGGGCCCCCUCCGCUCCCUGC
RNAcentral lists this unclassified non-coding RNA (353 nucleotides) under Chevaliera tayoensis. RNAcentral's name for it is "partial 26S-18S rRNA external transcribed spacer". Lineage: Eukaryota; Viridiplantae; Streptophyta; Magnoliopsida; Poales; Bromeliaceae. The record is from RNAcentral.